AUUGAACGCUGGCGGCAGGCCUAACACAUGCAAGUCGAACGAGUGGCGGACGGGUGAGUAAUGUCUGGGAAACUGCCCGAUGGAGGGGGAUAACUACUGGAAACGGUAGCUAAUACCGCAUACCAUCGGAUGUGCCCAGAUGGGAUUAGCUAGUAGGGGGGGUAACGGCUCACCUAGGCGACGCUCCCUAGCUGGUUUGAGAGGAUGACCAGCCACACGUGAACUGAGACACGGUCCAGACUCCUACGGGAGGCAUCAGUGGGGAAUAUUUCACAAUUGGCGCAAUCCUGAUGCCGCCAUGCCGCGUGUAUGAAGAAGGCCUUCGGGUUGUAAAGUACUUUCAGCGAGGAGGCGUUACUCGCAGAAGAAGCACCGGCUAACUCCGUGCCAGCAGCCGCGGUAAUUC
This 406-nucleotide ribosomal RNA is filed under the name uncultured bacterium. RNAcentral's name for it is "partial 16S ribosomal RNA". It matches the Rfam family "Bacterial small subunit ribosomal RNA", at positions 30 to 526 of the family's 1533-position model. The record is from RNAcentral.